RNAcentral lists this ribosomal RNA (155 nucleotides) under uncultured bacterium. Its description in RNAcentral is "partial 16S ribosomal RNA". It matches the Rfam family "Bacterial small subunit ribosomal RNA", at positions 1347 to 1500 of the family's 1533-position model. The record is from RNAcentral.
GGUCAGCAUACUGCCGUGAAUACGUUCCCGGGCCUUGUACACACCGCCCGUCCACACCAUGAGAGUUGGAAAUACCCGAAGCCUGUGAGCUGACCGUAAGGGGGCAGCAGUCGAAGGUAGAGCCAAUGAUUGGGGUGAAGUCGUAACAAGGUACC